RNAcentral lists this transfer RNA (86 nucleotides) under Camillea tinctor. RNAcentral's name for it is "tRNA-Asn". It matches the Rfam family "tRNA". From Rfam's summary of the family: Transfer RNA (tRNA) molecules are approximately 80 nucleotides in length. Their secondary structure includes four short double-helical elements and three loops (D, anti-codon, and T loops). The record is from RNAcentral. Lineage: Eukaryota; Fungi; Ascomycota; Sordariomycetes; Xylariales; Graphostromataceae.
UCCUCCGUGGCGCAAUUGGCUAGCGCGUCUGACUGUUAUCACAAAGGUACAUCAGGAGGUUGACAGUUCAAGCCUGUCCGGGGGAG